This 602-nucleotide ribosomal RNA is filed under the name uncultured bacterium. Its description in RNAcentral is "bacterial SSU rRNA". The stretch from base 1 to 526 matches the Rfam family "Bacterial small subunit ribosomal RNA", at positions 338 to 873 of the family's 1533-position model. The record is from RNAcentral.
CCUACGGGAGGCAGCAGUGGGGAAUAUUGCACAAUGGGCGCAAGCCUGAUGCAGCGACGCCGCGUGAGGGAUGACGGCCUUCGGGUUGUAAACCUCUUUCAGUAGGGAAGAAGCGAAAGUGACGGUACCUGCAGAAGAAGCGCCGGCUAACUACGUGCCAGCAGCCGCGGUAAUACGUAGGGCGCAAGCGUUAUCCGGAAUUAUUGGGCGUAAAGAGCUCGUAGGCGGUUUGUCGCGUCUGCCGUGAAAGUCCGGGGCUCAACUCCGGAUCUGCGGUGGGUACGGGCAGACUAGAGUGAUGUAGGGGAGACUGGAAUUCCUGGUGUAGCGGUGAAAUGCGCAGAUAUCAGGAGGAACACCGAUGGCGAAGGCAGGUCUCUGGGCAUUAACUGACGCUGAGGAGCGAAAGCAUGGGGAGCGGAACAGGAUUAGAUACCCUGGUAGUCCAUGCCGUAAACGUUGGGCACUAGGUNUGGGGGACAUUCCACGUUUUCCGCGCCGUAGCUAACGCAUUAAGUGCCCCGCCUGGGGNGACGCGCGAGACGAACACAAGAGAGUAGACGCGUGAGACGUCGCCGACGGACGACGACGGAGGGAGGAGG